GCGGCGGUGCGCGGGAUGGAGUUGCGCCUUGCCCGCAGUUAUCCCGGCGCUCUCGGGCAGAAGCUCCCGGCCCGCAAGUGGAGCGGAGCCCUCGCAGAGGCCGCUCCGCCGCCCGCCGCGGUUUCGCUCCCUGCGGGGCCGCUUGGUGUCACCCGCGCUCCGCGGCCAGGCCGAGUCCUCCCCCGACACUGCCUGCAGGCGCGCCCCCGCUCUGCGCAUGCGUCACCACCCCGGGCCGCUGAGGGUUGCCAUGGUUACCGCGACCCGGAAGUGCCGCCGGGGGGCGAUGGCUGCCCCCAGCCCCGAGCCGGCACUCACGGCCCGAGGGGGGCCCCGCGGCCCCGCCGCCCCCUGAGGCCUUCCCACCUCUCUCCCACCAUGGCCCGGGGGGCCGGCGAGGCGGCCGCGGAGGGGGAGCUGGGAGAUGACAAGCUGUCUGUGACAACCUGCCAGUCAGACACAGCCAUGAAGUUAAAGAAGAAGAUUUUUCACAAGCCUCCAAAAUCACCAAAGUCUCCCUACAGCUCAAGCACACAACUGUAUCCUAAAAAAGCUGCAGCUUGGAGGCCUCUGCAGGGAACGGGCAGUGCUUGUUUUGAGAAUGCAACUGUUGAAAACCCAAGGCAGAUGUGGCUGGGAUUUCUGAAACAAGGAAUGAGCCAUGCUCUGAAAUCAGAUGCUGACACGGGGCAUGUGCGAGCUAACGUUUCCAGUAGCACUCCAGAAUAUUUGAAGGAAGCUCUAGGAAUGAAAAAGCCAAAACAUGCUCGUUCUUCCAGUAAUGGCUACGUUCCUGGAACUCCUGACUACAAAGAGAAAGAAGAUAUGUAUGAUGAAAUUAUAGAACUGAAAAAGACAAUACAAGCUCAGAAGAAUGAGGGAGACCGAAUGAAGACAAAGCUCCGUCGCCUGGAAGAGGAGAACAGUAGAAAGGAUAAACAGAUUGAGCAACUGCUGGAUCCUUCCAGGGGCUCUGAGCUGGCACGAGCUUUGUCAGAAAAGAAGACUGAUAAUGGAUGGGUGGUUACUGGAUUAAAGCAGAAGAUUGUCAAGCUUGAAGAGCAGUGCAAGGAGAAAGACAACACUAUUAAUGAAUCCCAGGCAGACAUGAAGACCAGUAGUUUGGAAGAAGUGAGGUUAGCCAUGGAAACCUACUAUGAAGAGGUUCAUCGCCUCCAACUCCUCCUGGCCAAGUCUGAGACUAUGAGGAAAAAUGCAGAGGGCAGAGACACCCAGAAACGACUGAAGGCCCUGAAUGCUGCUGUGCUGAGGCUCUCCAGGAACAUCAGGGAAAUGCAGGCUGAGAAUCGCAGGCUGAAGGAGGAUCUGGAUCACGUGCUGAGCACCUCCCCUCCUCACAGUAAAACAAAAAAUUAUAGUGAGUGGAGCAGACAAAGGCUGGUGAGGAAGAUUAUGGAUCUAGAAAAAAAAGUGUGUGCCAUGGAGAGCAGCAGGGCAUCCUUAGGUGAUAGUGAGGCUUCACAAGUGCUUCCUGAGUCAUCUUCACCUUCUGUGGACCUGGACCAUCCAUCAUCCCAGCAUUUAGGUGAGGAAUGCUGUCGCCUCCAGAAGCUGGUGAAGAAACUGAAGAAUGAUAGGCAGGCACUUCAGAACCUCCUGCUCAGUAAAGAGUUAGAUAUCAAGCAGUUACUGCAGGCUAAGGCUGAAGUGGAGCUGGAGCUGCAGAAGUGGCAGAGUAAGAUGGAAGAAAAGAGUACAGAAGAGCAGACUUUAAGUGAGGAAAUCCAGAACCUGACCCAGAAAGUAGGGAAACUGGAGUUAAAACUGGAGGAGGAGAAAAGACAAAUGGGAGAAGAUACAGUGGAAAAGCUUAAUAAGGCUCCUCCAGUCUGCACAGUGACAGGCAAAGAAAAUCACAGGAAAGAGCAAGCAGCCAGAAUUAUCCAGAGAUACUGGAAGAUGUACAAAACCAAGAAAGAAGAAGCUGCUCUGCAUGAGGCAGUUGUUCUGCUGCAGGCAGCCUUCAGAGGACAUUUAUCUCGACAGAAAGUGCUGCUGGAUGCUGGGCUGCCUGAUGCAAAGCCUCACGCCGAGAACUCCUGCCUGCCUUCCAUGUCAGACUCCUUGAGCUUUUCUUCUGAUUGCAAGGAGAGAGAUGAGAUUGUGACAUUCAUCCAGUCCAUUUUCAGGGCUCACUUGGCACGUACAGGACCACCUCAGGAGAGGCCCUCUGUGCCCAGUGCCCCCAGUGGGAAAGCAGAUCCUGCAGUUUCCAUCCCAGAGAAGAGACCAGACUCAGCAGCACUCCAGAGGUCUUCAGUCCCCACAUCUCCUCUUCCUGGCAGGUCCUGCUCUGCUCCCUCUGUGGCCCUGGAUGAGGCUCACUCCGACGACUCCGAUGACGUGGUUGUCCCUCCCUUGCUGCAGGUGAAGAAAAGCUACACCCACUUCUAAGGUCCACUGAAAAAGCCUUUAAGGACUCCCUAAGGAAGCCUUCUGCUGCUUUAUGGAAAUAGAAGACCCUGCUGUGAAAACAUGGGAAUCCUGCAGUCAUCCUCCUGUCAAGCAGAGUCCUUGGUCUCUACUGGCAUAUUCUGUGGAUUUCUUAUGGGAAACUUCAGUUUUAAAUCUUAAACACCAGAGGUAAUCCAUGAGGCAUGAAUGGAAAAAUUUGGUAUUAUUUCUUGGAGCAGACUGGUCUUGAAUUCAGAAAGCAAUUAAGCAUUCACACUUAGUUAUAUUAAGCCAUAAUUUGUCUGCAGCUGAAGUUGGAAUGCCCUUGACUCUUGCAAGCUUUGCAGCAUCUCUCUGUGGUAGGUUUGUCAGCUAAUGAAUUGCUUUCCUCAUAGAAACUUUUUAAGGAGAGAAAAAAGUUUCAUUCAAUGGGCAUCAUUAAGACCUGCAAAGAGCAAAAUUUCCAUGUUAGACUCCAGGUUUGUAGGGAAGGAUUUUCAGGCAUGGUUGGUGGUCAGGUGCUGCAUCAGUUCCCCUGAUGUUUCCUUCUGUUUGCUGAAGUGCUGCUGUGCUGGUGCAGCCCUGACAUCCCUUCCAGUGCCUGCCCUGGUUUUGGUGUGUGUUUGGCACCUUGGUUAACGUGGUGUUCAGCAACCACCUGGAGGUGGAAGUGUUCAGUAACCACUCCUGCUGGGCUCAGGGAAGAGCCUUGAGCAGCAAGGGUUGCUGUUCUAGGAAUUCACUCUGGCCUAGUUCACUGAUGGAGUUGCACCCUGCUCCCCUUGCCCCUCCCUGCCUGGCCCUCCCAAUUACCCUUUUCAAACCUGAGCAUCUGGACUCUCCCUGCUCUCCAGGACAGAGUUUGUGUUGUUCCUCUCACCAGAGCUGUGUCUGAGCCAAUGUCCCAGCUCAAGGUGUGGCUCAGGCUGUCCCAGCUCCCCUCCCUCACAGACACAUUGCACUGCCUACCACAAGAGCCCCUGCAGGGCUUCUAUUGCUGGUGGUGUGAAUUGAGCUGUCAUAAAAUCUUGAGGCUCAAAAUGGUCUGGGAAGAAGCAGGAGGGACAAUAGGGACAUCAUGCCCAUUGUCAGACAAUCCCACACCUGGAUGUCAUUCCUGUCCCCUCCUCAGCCCAUCAGCUCUGCAGAGCUGAGCCUCUACCUCAGCAGUGUAACACAGCUGGAAAGUCUGUGCUGUAGUCUGACUUCAGGGAUGGAAUACUGUAAAAUCUUGGUUACAGUGCUGCUGUAAAAAAAGGCUGUGCUUCAAUGGCCUCUAGGUACAUGCAUGGAAAAUUAGAAGAGCUUUUAAUAAAUGGGAUUGACCAUGAGUGCCUGUAGUACAAGUUACAAAUGUUCUGCACAAACAUUGCUUUGCAUUGCCAUUAUUUGAGCAAUAAUCCUUAUUUGGAACUUACACAAAUUGUGGCAGAACCUUCUAUUUGUCUAACCUGGGAAUUUUUCCUGAACAGGCUCUCUAUAAUCUACUCAGAGAAUUGGCAGUUUUCUUCCCUCUCUCGGCAGAUAUUUAAUAGCCACGUAUUGCAUUUCCAUGCUAGUAAACCUUCAUUAUUAUACAAAAUGUACCAGAAUGUUAUGAAGAAAUACCUUAAAUAAUUAAAUAGAAAUGAAGAGUGACAAAACAAA
Molecule: RNA transcript, 4062 nt
Organism: Passer domesticus (house sparrow)
Lineage: Eukaryota; Metazoa; Chordata; Aves; Passeriformes; Passeridae
Gene: IQCE
Gene name: IQ motif containing E
Exons: 24
Source: RefSeq, a predicted model, not a curated record